GUUGAAGAACGCAGCGAAAUGCGAUAAGUAAUGUGAAUUGCAGAAUUCAGUGAAUCAUCGAAUCUUUGAACGCACAUUGCGCCCUCUGGUAUUCCGGGGGGCAUGCCUGUUCGAGCGUCAUUAUAACCACUCAAGCUCUCGCUUGGUAUUGGGGUUCGCGGUUUCGCGGCCCCUAAAAUCAGUGGCGGUGCCUGUCGGCUCUACGCGUAGUAAUACUUCUCGCGAUUGAGUUCGAUAGGUCUACUUGCCAGUAACCCCCAAUUUUUACAGGUUGACCUCGGAUCAGGUAGGGAUACCCGCUGAACUUAAGCAUAUCAAUAAGCGGAGGA
Molecule: unclassified non-coding RNA, 329 nt
Filed under: soil metagenome
Description: partial contains 5.8S ribosomal RNA, internal transcribed spacer 2, and large subunit ribosomal RNA
Rfam family: 5.8S ribosomal RNA (bases 1-120)
Source: RNAcentral